CGUGAAGGAUAACGUUGCGUCAGCAACGGCCCGAAGGGCGAGGCAAAGCCGAGUCAUCCUGCACGACCUACCA
RNAcentral lists this small RNA (73 nucleotides) under Klebsiella pneumoniae. Its description in RNAcentral is "partial RtT sRNA". It matches the Rfam family "RtT RNA", at positions 54 to 130 of the family's 130-position model. Rfam says of the family: This family represents a bacterial cis-regulatory element known as RtT RNA. The record is from RNAcentral. Lineage: Bacteria; Pseudomonadati; Pseudomonadota; Gammaproteobacteria; Enterobacterales; Enterobacteriaceae.